UGAGCGGGCCGGGUGAUCGCCGGCCGAAGCCAGAGCCUCGACGCACCGGUCGGACUGCGGCCAUGGGAAACAGGUUUUCCCGUGCUGCCUUACGUUGCAGAUCCUGUGCCAAAGUGCUCAUGGUUUCGGCGGGAGGAAAGUCCGGGCUCCGCAGGGUGCGAUGGUGGGUAACGCCCACCAGCCGUGAGGCUAGGGAAAGUGCCACAGAGAAUAGACCGCCAGCCGGUUCGCCGGCCGGUAAGGGUGAAACGGUGAGGUAAGAGCUCACCAGCAGGCCGGGUGACCGGCUUGGCUUGGUAAACCCCAUCGGGAGCAAGGCCGAACAGGAGAGCGUCCUGCCUACGGGCAGGCUCUGGGCGACCCGCCCAGGUUGCUCUCCGGGUGGGCUGCUGGAGGUGGCGGGCAACCGCCAUCCUAGAGAAAUGAUUGCCGCACCUCUGACCUUCUGGCAGGGGUGGACAGAACCCGGCUUACAGGCCCGCUCAGAUU
This 489-nucleotide RNase P RNA is filed under the name Planctomycetota bacterium. Its description in RNAcentral is "RNase P RNA component class A". It matches the Rfam family "Bacterial RNase P class A". From Rfam's summary of the family: Ribonuclease P (RNase P) is a ubiquitous endoribonuclease, found in archaea, bacteria and eukarya as well as chloroplasts and mitochondria. Its best characterised activity is the generation of mature 5'-ends of tRNAs by cleaving the 5'-leader elements of precursor-tRNAs. Cellular RNase Ps are ribonucleoproteins. Lineage: Bacteria; Pseudomonadati; Planctomycetota. RNAcentral also lists the same sequence under 1 other name. The record is from RNAcentral.